This 430-nucleotide ribosomal RNA is filed under the name Pseudomonadota bacterium. RNAcentral describes it as "Proteobacteria bacterium partial 16S ribosomal RNA". It matches the Rfam family "Bacterial small subunit ribosomal RNA", at positions 355 to 776 of the family's 1533-position model. Lineage: Bacteria; Pseudomonadati; Pseudomonadota. The record is from RNAcentral.
UGGGGAAUAUUGGACAGUGGGCGCAAGCCUGAUCCAGCCAUGCCGCGUGUGUGAAGAAGGCCUUAUGGUUGUAAAGCACUUUAAGCGAGGAGGAGGCUACUUUAGUUAAUACCUAGAGAUAGUGGACGUUACUCGCAGAAUAAGCACCGGCUAACUCUGUGCCAGCAGCCGCGGUAAUACAGAGGGUGCAAGCGUUAAUCGGAUUUACUGGGCGUAAAGCGCGCGUAGGCGGCUAAUUAAGUCAAAUGUGAAAUCCCCGAGCUUAACUUGGGAAUUGCAUUCGAUACUGGUUAGCUAGAGUGUGGGAGAGGAUGGUAGAAUUCCAGGUGUAGCGGUGAAAUGCGUAGAGAUCUGGAGGAAUACCGAUGGCGAAGGCAGCCAUCUGGCCUAACACUGACGCUGAGGUGCGAAAGCAUGGGGAGCAAACAGG